UACGAAGGGGGCUAGCGUUGCUCGGAAUCACUGGGCGUAAAGCGCACGUAGGCGGAUCUUUAAGUCAGGGGUGAAAUCCUGGAGCUCAACUCCAGAACUGCCUUUGAUACUGGAGAUCUCGAGUCCGGAAGAGGUGAGUGGAACUCCGAGUGUAGAGGUGAAAUUCGUAGAUAUUCGGAAGAACACCAAUUGCGAAGGCAGCGCGCUGGGACGUUACUGACGCUGAGACGCGAAAGCGUGGGGAGCAAACAGG
Molecule: ribosomal RNA, 253 nt
Filed under: uncultured bacterium
Lineage: Bacteria
Description: partial 16S ribosomal RNA
Rfam family: Bacterial small subunit ribosomal RNA
Source: RNAcentral